RNAcentral lists this ribosomal RNA (254 nucleotides) under uncultured bacterium. RNAcentral describes it as "partial 16S ribosomal RNA". It matches the Rfam family "Bacterial small subunit ribosomal RNA", at positions 15 to 266 of the family's 1533-position model. The record is from RNAcentral.
GAUCAUGGCUCAGGACGAACGCUGGCGGCGUGCCUAACACAUGCAAGUCGAACGGAAGUUAGAGCUUCGGUUUUAACUUUAGUGGCGAACGGGUGAGUAACGCGUGAGGAACCUGCCUUUCAGUGGGGGGACAACAGUUGGAAACGACUGCUAAUACCGCAUGACACUUUUGGGGGACAUCCCUUAAAAGUCAAAGCUUUAUGUGCUGAAAGAUGGCCUCGCGUCUGAUUAGCUGGUUGGUGAGGUAACGGCUC